AUUGAACGCUGGCGGCAUGCCUUACACAUGCAAGUCGAACGGUAACAGGGAGCUUGCUCCGCUGACGAGUGGCGAACGGGUGAGUAAAGUAUCGGAACGUACCUUUCAGUGGGGGAUAACGUAGCGAAAGUUACGCUAAUACCGCAUAUUCUGUGAGCAGGAAAGCAGGGGAUCGCAAGACCUUGCGCUGAUUGAGCGGCCGAUAUCAGAUUAGCUAGUUGGUGAGGUAAAGGCUCACCAAGGCGACGAUCUGUAGCGGGUCUGAGAGGAUGAUCCGCCACACUGGAACUGAGACACGGUCCAGACUCCUACGGGAGGCAGCAGUGGGGAAUUUUGGACAAUGGGGGCAACCCUGAUCCAGCCAUGCCGCGUGAGUGAAGAAGGCCUUCGGGUUGUAAAGCUCUUUCGGCCGGGAAGAAAUCGCAUGGGUUAAUACCCUGUGCGGAUGACGGUACCGGCAUAAGAAGCACCGGCUAACUACGUGCCAGCAGCCGCGGUAAUACGUAGGGUGCGAGCGUUAAUCGGAAUUACUGGGCGUAAAGCGUGCGCAGGCGGUUUUGUAAGACAGGCGUGAAAUCCCCGGGCUCAACCUGGGAACUGCGCUUGUGACUGCAAGGCUAGAGUAUGGCAGAGGGGGGUGG
RNAcentral lists this ribosomal RNA (641 nucleotides) under uncultured bacterium. RNAcentral's name for it is "bacterial SSU rRNA". It matches the Rfam family "Bacterial small subunit ribosomal RNA", at positions 28 to 664 of the family's 1533-position model. The record is from RNAcentral.